AGAAUGAACGCUAGCGAUAUGCUUAACACAUGCAAGUUGAACGUUGUUUUCGAAUCAGAAUGAGAACAAAGUAGCGAACGGGUGCGUAACACGUGGGAAUCUGCCGAACAGUUUGGGCCAAAUCCCGAAUGAAUAAAAGCUAAAAAGCGCUGUUUGAUGAGCCCACGUAGUAUUAGGUAGUUGGUUAGGUAAAAGCUGACCAAGCCUACGAUGCUUAGCUGGUCUUUUCGGAUGAUCAGCCACACUGGGACUGAGACACGGCCCCAGACUCCUACGGGAGGCAGCAGUGGGGAAUCUUGGACAAUGGGCGAAAGCCUGAUCCGGCAAUAUGGCGUGAGUGAAGAAGGGCAACGCAGCUUGUAAAGCUCUUUCAUCGAGUGUGCGAUUGUGACAAGACUCGAAUAAGAAGCCCCGGCUAACCUCCGUGCCAGCAGCCGC
This 438-nucleotide ribosomal RNA is filed under the name uncultured bacterium. Its description in RNAcentral is "SSU rRNA". It matches the Rfam family "Bacterial small subunit ribosomal RNA", at positions 26 to 518 of the family's 1533-position model. The record is from RNAcentral.